UACGUAGGGGGCAAGCGUUAAUCGGAAUUACUGGGCGUAAAGCGUGCGUAGACGGUUACAUAAGUCGGGUGUGAAAGCCCCGGGCUCAACCUGGGAAUUGCAUUCGAGACUGCGUAGCUAGGGUGCGGAAGAGGGAAGCGGAAUUUCCGGUGUAGCGGUGAAAUGCGUAGAUAUCCGGAGGAACACCGGUGGCGAAGGCGGCUUCCUGGACCGACACUGACGCUGAGGCGCGAAAGCCAGGGGAGCAAACGGG
Molecule: ribosomal RNA, 253 nt
Filed under: uncultured bacterium
Lineage: Bacteria
Description: partial 16S ribosomal RNA
Rfam family: Bacterial small subunit ribosomal RNA
Source: RNAcentral